AUUAAAAUUUAUGACUUAUUCUAAAGUAAGAGGUAUUUUAAAUUAAAAAAAUUUUGAUAAUCUUUUAGAGGUUAUUUCAUUUGUAAACUGUAACCGUUGAAGCUCGUAAACAACAUAUAUUUCUUUGAAUAUGGUUCACUCAUUCCCACUGAAGUUAUAUGCAUGCAUGAGGUAUGUUGAAACAUGUUGUUAACAAAAAGGAAAAGGGACCAAAGUGAAACUCAAGAAAAGGAAGAACCAAGUAAAAUUAGUCCAUCCAUUGUUUUACCCAUACGUCAAACUGCAUCUAUCUUCAAACAGUCUGUGACAAUAAUUAAGAAUCAAGAGUCAAAAAUUCGUACAGAUAUUACUCAUGGCACUCAAGAAAAACCAAAACAAGUUUUCUGGGAGAAAAGACUGCAAGGAAUUAAUGCCUGUGAUAAAAAAGGAGAAGUCAUUGAAACUUUUGAACUUCCUUCAAAAAUCAAAGCUGUUGGAUUACAACUAGGAGAUGAAACUAUACUGAGGAGUAUUGUAACAGCAUUACACAUAAAUGGUCACCCAAUUACAGGACAGAACAAGCCAAAAGCACUACUAGACAAGAGUCCUGGAGUUUAUAUUAAUCCUACACAGCCUUUAGUAUUGGGUCUCCACGUUACAGAUGAAGAUAUCGAAUUGCAAGAAAAAAAAGUUUUGGAAGCUAGAGAACGCUUAAAAGAAGCUCUUAAUGAAUGAACGAUGCAUCAUGGAAUGCUGCACUAUUUUCAUUAAGAACUCCCAAGAAGCUGAGCAACAAGUUCAUGAAUGGUGAUCGUCCUGUUUUGAAGCACUUCACGGUGAACCAUCUCGAUAAUCGCCUCCAAAACUGAUGGUCUUCCACUCCGUUCUUCGUCGUGAAUGUCCUUCUAACUGGCACUAAACUCCCUGCACCACUUUUGGAUGUGUUGAACGGACAAAUACUUUUUGCCAUACACCUCUGUCAACUGAUGCUGAAUAUCCACGGGUGAAAUCUCAUCGGCAUGCAAAAAGUGGAUUGCGAACAAAUCUCUCAUUUCCCUCCAAAUGAGAGAACAGUGGGCACCUCCAUCUUGGAUAGUUCCAGAGCCAAGACUAAGCAGUGCAGCAAAAUGUGGCUGGGUGGAAUCAAGAGUGGGGGAACAGCUGCGCACAGUGGUGUUGUCAGAUUUUGCCUUGCACCUUCCCGUGUGGCUGGAGCUCUUUGAGAACCUUAUUUCUGGAUCGACCUUAUUUUGGUGAUUUAGGAAGGUUCUGCUACAAUGCUGAUAUGCAGAUGGCUUGAAUGAAGAACUCAUAUCACAUACAUGCAGAUUGCAUAAUUAAAGCACUCUGUAAAUAUUUUCAUAUGCAGUUGACAAGUACAAAUAACUUUUUUAUGAUCAUUUACAUUCAAUGAUUAAAAUAUGUAUUGUUUGAAAGUGAUGUCGAAUAUUAAAACUAGUAAUAGAAAAUAUUUGUAUAAAAAUUUUCCUACAACAACCAGUAUCUUCCAGUUCCCAUGCUUAUCUUGAAGGGGCAGUUGUUGUAUACAUUAAGAUUUUCAUUAAGUUUAUUUGAGAAAGUUAUGUAAAUUUUGGGGACAACAAUCAUCUAAAAUAGUGUGAUUUUAUGUACCUCAAAUAAUAGGAAAACCUGGAUGAAGCCAAUGACCAGAGCCAUUUUUAAUAAAACAGUCAAUGUUUUAUAUGGUACAAUUACACUUUUAAGUUUCUUUUAUACUUUAUUGAAUUCAAUACUAUAUAAAAACAAAGCAUCUUUACUGUAGUACAGUAGUUAUUAUGCUAAUUAACUUUUGUAGUACAUGAGUUAUUUUACUACUACUCAUAUGAUAGUUCUAAGGAUAAAAUUCAUGUAUAUUAUUGUUCUUACAUUUUAAUAUGAAUAGUCAGUUUCAUAUUGAAAUUUAAAAUAAAAUGAAUAAAGGAAACAAAAAUUAA
RNA transcript from Stegodyphus dumicola, 1934 nucleotides. It is a transcript of the gene named methyl-CpG-binding domain protein 3-like, with no coding region annotated. The record is from RefSeq and is a predicted model, not a curated record. NCBI's taxonomy places the organism in Eukaryota, Metazoa, Arthropoda, Arachnida, Araneae, Eresidae.